AUGGCCUUUAGGAAACUUUAUGGAUCGAGCGGGAAUCAAGGAAGAUUUAACGCAUAUUUGCGUAAUGCUGAUCUUGUGAGCUUCGAGGAGGAAAAGUGCCGCCAGUACCACUAUCUCACUAGUUCAUUUGUGAGGAGGUUUGAAUUUUCAUCUUCACGCAAUUCUCCAACUGUCCUGUUUGAUCUCUAUGUAAAAUCUUACACUAUGGACUUAGAGGAUUUUACCACUGCUUGCAAACUUCCACAAUGGGGUAGUGCUAGUGAACCUCGCAAAUCUGAAUUCAGAGAUUUUCUUGCUUGUAUAACUGUGGGGGAAUCUAGAGAUAUAGCACAAGCUACCAUAGGGAGCAUCCAUUUUCCUGCUAUACAUUAUUUUGCUCUCUUCAUAGGUAGGUGCAUAAAUGGUAAGGAUGAAGCAUGUCACAUGUGUGUCCCUGACCUCAGUAUUCUUAGGAGUGCUGUGUUAGGAGACAAAUCUUAUAAUUUGGGAGCCAUUGUUGCACGUAGGUUGCAUCAUAAUAGAUUUAAUGGAGAUUUCUUUGGCGGAAUGUAUGCGACCCGCUUAGCUGAUUUUCUUGGUGUAACCAUACGUAAUGAUGAUAUUGAAUUGCCUCCUACUUAUUUAGACUUUAAUGCUAUGGUUCACCACCAGUUUGUCGAGAGGAAUGAAUCACCUCUCCGGUAUCGCUUAAUCUUUGACAGACGUCGUGCUGUCCGUAUUACUCUCCCUACUCCUGCCUUCUUUGAUUAUCAGGCAAAAGGAAGACAUUUUAUUACCAGAGAGGAGGCAGAUGAGUACGAGAGAUGGGCAGAGGCAGCUCGCCGCCACGCUGCAGCCCAGGAGGCAAUAACUGCCGCAUCGCAAUACGACCCCGGCUACAACUAUGGAUAUCCGCCAGGCCAUCCGUGGCAAUAA
This 915-nucleotide ribosomal RNA is filed under the name Triticum aestivum (bread wheat). RNAcentral's name for it is "partial small subunit ribosomal RNA". Lineage: Eukaryota; Viridiplantae; Streptophyta; Magnoliopsida; Poales; Poaceae. The record is from RNAcentral.